CGAAAGCCUGACGGAGCAAGACCGCGUGGGGGACGAAGGCUCUUGGGUUGUAAACCCCUUUUCUCAGGGAAGAAUAAAAUGACGGUACCUGAGGAAUCAGCAUCGGCUAACUCCGUGCCAGCAGCCGCGGUAAGACGGAGGAUGCAAGCGUUAUCCGGAAUUAUUGGGCGUAAAGCGUCCGCAGGUGGCUAUUCAAGUCUGCUGUCAAAGCCCGGGGCUUAACCCCAGAAAGGCAGUGGAAACUGAAAAGCUAGAGGGUGGUAGGGGCAGAGGGAAUUCCCAGUGUAGCGGUGAAAUGCGUAGAGAUUGGGAAGAACACCGGUGGCGAAAGCGCUCUACUGGACUGCAACUGACACUCAGGGACGAAAGC
This 370-nucleotide ribosomal RNA is filed under the name uncultured cyanobacterium. RNAcentral's name for it is "bacterial SSU rRNA". It matches the Rfam family "Bacterial small subunit ribosomal RNA", at positions 376 to 760 of the family's 1533-position model. Lineage: Bacteria; Bacillati; Cyanobacteriota. The record is from RNAcentral.